Molecule: small nucleolar RNA, 128 nt
Organism: Prolemur simus (greater bamboo lemur)
Lineage: Eukaryota; Metazoa; Chordata; Mammalia; Primates; Lemuridae
Source: Ensembl
AGCUUCCUAGUACUUAGCACAGGCUGUGUUCUUACACUGACUGCACAGAAAGAGGAGAUGGAGUAAACCCCAUCCACACUCCAGCCCAGGCCCUGUGCCUCAUUUGUAUUUUGAAUAGGGAAAUGUGG